Dermacentor albipictus is the source of this 1884-nucleotide long non-coding RNA. RefSeq lists it as uncharacterized. NCBI's taxonomy places the organism in Eukaryota, Metazoa, Arthropoda, Arachnida, Ixodida, Ixodidae. The record is from RefSeq and is a predicted model, not a curated record.
CAACGCUAAAGAGAACUGCACGCCUGCUGCAGCUGACGUUUUCCUUGACAAGCAGGACGGUGCGAGAGCCCUUCGUGAUCUGUGCGACCCACACCAUGUCCCCUUGGGACGAAGGCGCUGACUACGACGUUUCGCACGGCCAACUACUACGUCAAUGGGCGCCAGGUACGCGGCUACCACAUGGUCAACUUGGCUCUGCACUGCGCACGCUCCGUUCUGGUGGCCAUCGUCGCACACUGCGUGAUGCGGAUGCCUGCCCUCCACGCGUGCCUGGCAGCGACGCUGUUCGCUGCGCAUCCGGUCCACACUGAGGCCAGUUACGAAGCGGCUAUACGUCUCGAUCCAGAGCUCGCUCAUGCUCAUCUGAACCUUGCCGUGAUAAGGCACUUAGAGAGUGACUAUCGAUGAGCAUUUCGACACUACCAAGUCGCCCUGUCUCUCGAUCCAAAGAACAAGCUCAUCAUAGACAACAUGGCCAAGUUAAGGCGGCGAAUCACUAAGCCACUGCCUUUCCAUGAAUGCGUUUAGAGCGGACGCACAGUCAACAUGCGCUUACUCUGUGGCUUUUUUGUCUAUAGCGACAUUCAUGUUUUGAUGGCAUAUUCCGACUAUAUUCACACUACAUUGAUUUAUAGGUUUCGCAACAUUGCCAUUGAAGACACAAAUGUCCGGUAAAUGCAGUUCAAAGGUGGCAUGAUGAUAUCAAGAGUCGUUAACAACGAUUCCAUCGUCUGAAUUUUUUAUUUGGCAAAAGUUAUGCCCUCGAACAACCCGUCUCAUUCCAGGGUGAUGUGAUGAUUAGCAGAUGUGAUCAACACUGAAAUUUUCUAUGCCUGAUUGGAAAUAUCCUAACUUUCCAGAAGUGUUGCUGAAAGACAAUUCAAUUUCUUGCCUGCAAAUAGCAAACCGCAGGGAACAGCCUAUGCCAUACAUGACUUCUUGUAAACGCGUUGUGUGAUUAGUGAUGCCGGCGUACUAUAUUGCUGUGUGAUUUACGCAAUUCAGUGAAUUUCGCUAUUGGUUUCCUGCAGUACUUUCUAAAUUUUCGUUUUAAUCUUACCUUUUCUGCCUUUGUUUAGUGUGUCGAAAAAAAAAUGUUUACCAUAGCUCAGCCUAAUGAGUACUUCUGAUUACGCGAAUACUCUUAGGCAGACGUUGGCGGCUUCUACAGCGAAUAUGAGCCAAAGUGAGUAAAGAAUAUGAUCCUCUCGCGCAUAGCCCUGUCUUUACGCCUUCUCGAGCAGAAAAAAAGUAUGAGAAACGGAACACUUGUUACGGAUUCUGCCAUGCAUGCCAGCGUGUUUAUUUGGCCUUUCCUUGCCACAUUCUCAGUGAAUUUCGGUUAAGGGAAGUAGAAGUUCUUUGAGUGGUGGCAUGAGACGAUGCAACAUUGUGCCUAGAUUUAAGAUUCUUAUGGUAGUGUAUGCGACAUGGCAAUGCUACUGUCAAAGUAUGACAGAUUUGCUGAGACGUAUCGCGGUGUAAGUGGACGUGAUGGACCGUUUCAUGGGCGCUUCCGGAUUGAGCGCAAGGAAACGAGGUCGUCCGAAGUGACAACGGAAGCAUACAAUGAAAUAAAAUGUCUGAUGUUGUCUUCACAACGCAGUCCGCUUAAAUACACAGUGUAUUUAUUCGCCUAGGCUGGAAGUGUCGGUGAAGUUGCCUUUUUUUUUUGGUAAGGGGGCAUGAUUCAGAAAAGAGCCUAAGACAACUCUUUGUUCUUCAAUAUCGGUGACACGGUUUUGGGUAAUUAAGAAUGGUAGGUAAAAAAGGAAUUCUCUUAAUUUGUUGAAAUGAUGUAUUUAUUCCCGUAAAAUAUGAAUGGUGCACAAGCAGACACAUGCAUGCGUACGGCCAGAAAUUAUGUGUUUAUACCUAGCUGUU